AAGGAUCAUUGUCGAUGCCUCAAAUCCAGAGAGACCCGCGGACACGUUCGAAUGCCCGGGACAGUCGGAGCUGCCCAGCGGCCCGACUUCCCAGAACGCCGGGACGGAGACGCGGCCCGCGGCCUCCCGUCCCGGCGCAACAACAAACAAACCCCGGCGCGGAAUGCGCCAAGGAAGCAAACAAUCGUACAGCGCGCCCCGUCGGCCCGGGAACGGUGCCCGCACGGUCCGCGACGCGACACUCGAGUCCAAAACGACUCUCGGCAACGGAUAUCUCGGCUCUUGCAUCGAUGAAGAACGCAGCGAAAUGCGAUACUUGGUGUGAAUUGCAGAAUCCCGUGAACCAUCGAGUCUUUGAACGCAAGUUGCGCCCGAAGCCACUAGGCCAAGGGCACGCCUGCCUGGGUGUCACCAAUCGCCGCCCCAACCCCGUGCCUCUCCGGCCACGGGGCGGGGCGAAUGAUGGCCUCCCGUGAGCACCGCCUCGCGGCUGGCUGAAAAUCGGGUCCGUGGUGGAUGCAGCGCCAUGACAGACGGUGGUUGAGCGUGCUCUCGAGGCCAGUCAUGCGGGCGGCCUCCACCGGCUCGGUACCCAGUGACCCGCGGGCGACAUCGAGCGCCCAUGACGCGACCUCAGGUCAGGC
RNAcentral lists this unclassified non-coding RNA (644 nucleotides) under Dalbergia frutescens var. tomentosa. Its description in RNAcentral is "partial contains 18S rRNA, ITS1, 5.8S rRNA and ITS2". The stretch from base 256 to 411 matches the Rfam family "5.8S ribosomal RNA". The record is from RNAcentral. Lineage: Eukaryota; Viridiplantae; Streptophyta; Magnoliopsida; Fabales; Fabaceae.